Amblyraja radiata (thorny skate) is the source of this 87-nucleotide long non-coding RNA. RefSeq lists it as uncharacterized. The transcript has 3 exons. The record is from RefSeq and is a predicted model, not a curated record. NCBI's taxonomy places the organism in Eukaryota, Metazoa, Chordata, Chondrichthyes, Rajiformes, Rajidae.
CCCCUAGUGUGUAGGGAAUGGAUGAGAAAGUAGGAUAACAUAGAACUGUUGUGAACGGGGGAUCGAUGAUAAUCAGCAUGGGCACGA